GCACCGUCGCUCGGACCGCGACCCCAGGUCAGUCGGGACUACCCGCUGAGUUUAAGCAUAUAAAUAAGCGGAGGAGAAGAAAC
Molecule: ribosomal RNA, 83 nt
Filed under: Coix lacryma-jobi (Job's tears)
Lineage: Eukaryota; Viridiplantae; Streptophyta; Magnoliopsida; Poales; Poaceae
Description: partial 26S ribosomal RNA
Rfam family: Eukaryotic large subunit ribosomal RNA (bases 19-83)
Source: RNAcentral